This 250-nucleotide ribosomal RNA is filed under the name uncultured bacterium. RNAcentral describes it as "partial 16S ribosomal RNA". It matches the Rfam family "Bacterial small subunit ribosomal RNA", at positions 355 to 603 of the family's 1533-position model. The record is from RNAcentral.
GGAGGAAUAUUGGGCAAUGCCCGAAAGGGUGACCCAGCAACGCCGCGUGGAGGAUGAAGGCCGUAAGGUUGUAAACUCCUGUUAGAGGGGAAGAAAACUCCGAUAGAAUCGGAGACUGACUGUACCCUCAGAGGAAGCCCCGGCUAACUACGUGCCAGCAGCCGCGGUAAUACGUAGGGGGCAAGCGUUGUCCGGAUUCACUGGGUGUAAAGGGCGCGUAGGCGGGCUAGCAAGUCAGAGGUGAAAUCCU